Long non-coding RNA from Tupaia belangeri chinensis (Chinese tree shrew), 235 nucleotides. RefSeq lists it as uncharacterized. The transcript is spliced from 3 exons. NCBI's taxonomy places the organism in Eukaryota, Metazoa, Chordata, Mammalia, Scandentia, Tupaiidae. The record is from RefSeq and is a predicted model, not a curated record.
AAAGAACUUGAUUUCUAGUAUCACUGUUCAACGAAGUGCUAGAAGGUUGUGAUCUCAAGGGCAAGGAUCACAUAAUCCUCUUUGCAUCCAACAAGAGCUCAAACAGAACCCAUGGUUGAUGCUUAAUGGCCUUUUACUGAGUGAAGGAAGAAGCAUGUAGGCACUGAAGAGAGACCACAAUUUGCAUUUCACUCAUCUUUAUUGAAGGGGACAAUGGAAUAGGAAACAUUUAAGA